GCCUGCCCUGUGACUAUAUGUUUAACGGCCGCGGUAUUUUGACCGUGCGAAGGUAGCGCAAUCACUUGUCUCUUAAAUGGAGACCUGUAUGAAAGGCAUCACGAGGGCUUAGCUGUCUCCCCUUUAAAGUCAAUGAAAUUGAUCUCCCCGUGCAGAAGCGGGGAUACGCUCGUAAGACGAGAAGACCCUAUGGAGCUUAAGAUAUAAAGCGACCCAUGUCAAGCACCCCUUCAAAGGAGAUGAACAUAAUGAGCCUCGCCGAAAUAUCUUCGGUUGGGGCGACCGCGGGGAAAGACAAAACCCCCACAUGGACUGGGGCAACAUUUGGCCCUAAAACCUAGACCCACACGUCGAAUCAACAGUAUUUCUGACCACCAAAGAGCCGGCAAUGCCAAUCAACGGACCGAGUUACCCUAGGGAUAACAGCGCAAUCCCCUCCCAGAGCCCUUAUCGACAAGGGGGUUUACGACCUCGAUGUUGGAUCAGGACAUCCUAAUGGUGCAGCCGCUAUUAAGG
RNAcentral lists this ribosomal RNA (516 nucleotides) under Notoscopelus japonicus (Japanese lanternfish). RNAcentral describes it as "partial large subunit ribosomal RNA". It matches the Rfam family "Bacterial large subunit ribosomal RNA", at positions 1857 to 2570 of the family's 2925-position model. Lineage: Eukaryota; Metazoa; Chordata; Actinopteri; Myctophiformes; Myctophidae. The record is from RNAcentral.